UUGGAUUCAAUCAAUCAAAAAGACCGACUUGGACAGUUUUUUUUUUUUUUUUGGACAAACAAAGUAAUUUCAUUAAAGAUGAAGCUAAUACAAGGAAAUGACAUCUCCACAAGAGAGUCCAAAAAAGCCAAGCAAAAGUCGAACACUAAACGAAAAUUACAAUGAGAAGGCCCCACAGUGAGCAGCCCAAAGCAACAACCAAAUCGAAAACCAUAGACAGCCACCUCCACCAACACAGUCGCAUUGAAACUGCGGAUCAGUCACCACCACUCGGAGAAAGGGCCAAAGAACCAAAAGGAUGAACGGAAAAUGGGGGUAGGCAAGCUACCCGCACUGGAAAUGCUCCCAUAAUCCUACCCAAUAGUGCAAAAAGCACUUUGAAUAGUGUGAAGCAGCAAGGGUAGAUGUUAGGAGAUUCACGAUGAGGAGCUAUGAUUGGAGAGGAACAAGGCAAAGAAGGAAAAUCUGAGAUAAACUCAGGGAAAACUGAGACCAAGCUCAGAGCUACCUGAGACACAAAAUGCUUAGACAGAAAGCAAACGAAAGCUAAAAGCAUAAAAAGAUAAACCAAGUCUCCAACCAUGGUGGCUUGGAGAGGGAAAACCUGAGGUGGAGCAGGAGGAGAAAGGGGAUAUGGGGAAAACGGGAGGAUAGGGAGGGAAAGAAGGGGAUAAAGAAAGGAAACAAGGGUGGAGAAAAGGGAAGAGGAAGAAGGGCGAAAAAACAGGAAGAGAUAGACGAAAGGGAUGAAAAAAAGAGAGGAGGACGAACGAGGAAUGCAGAGGAGGACGAGGAGGGGAGGGUUAGGCUGCCGCCGACCUCAAGCCGGAACAAAGAGGCCGACGACAAAGGAGGUUUCAGAGGCUAAGGUUUUACUUUGGGGGAAGAAGAAGGCACAAAGUCAUAGGAAAAGACCGACAUGGACAAUUAGUUGGACUGAGCUCGACCUAAAAACCAGAUGAAGGAAAAAAAGGAAAAAACAAAAGGACAAAAGAUUUUUUUUUUUUUUUAAACAACAAAUUUUGUUAAAUUAGAUGUUAAGUUAAUUAUUGACGGUAUUUAAAUUCAUAUCAUCGUGUAAACACUCAACUCCGACCACUUGCCAACGGGUUAGAAGAUUAGUUAGAAGGCCAUACAC
This 1138-nucleotide long non-coding RNA is filed under the name Malus domestica (apple). Its description in RNAcentral is "long non-coding RNA (MDOM_LNC003229)". The record is from RNAcentral. Lineage: Eukaryota; Viridiplantae; Streptophyta; Magnoliopsida; Rosales; Rosaceae.